This 1144-nucleotide long non-coding RNA is filed under the name Homo sapiens (human). Its description in RNAcentral is "HSALNT0319313". Lineage: Eukaryota; Metazoa; Chordata; Mammalia; Primates; Hominidae. The record is from RNAcentral.
CUCCCUCUCCUUCCACGGUCUCCCUCUGAUGCCGAGCGGAAGCUGGACUGUACUGCUGCCAACUCGGCUCACUGCAACCUCCCUGCCUGAUUCUCCUGCCUCAGCCUGCAGAGUGCCUGCGAUUGCAGGCGCGCGCUGCCACGCCGGACUAGUUUUCGUAUUUUUUUGGUGGAGACAGGGUUUCGCUGUGUUGGCCGGGCUGGUCUCCAGCUCCUAACCGUGAGUGAUCUACCAGCCUCGGUGCCGGGAUUGCAGACGGAGUCUCGUUCACUCAGUGCUCAAUGUUACCCAGGCUGGAGUGCAGUGGCGUGAUCUCGGCUAGCUACAACAUCCACCUCCCAGCAGCCUGCCUUGGCCUCCCAAAGUGCCGAGAUUGCAGCCUCUGCCCGGCCGCCACCCCGUCUGGGAAGUGAGGAGCGUCUCUGCCUGGCCGCCCAUCGUCUGAGAUGUGAGGAGCCCCUCUGCCCGGCCGCCCAUCGUCUGAGAUGUGGGGAGCGCCUCUGCCCCGCCGCCCCGUCUGGGAUGUGAGGAGCGCCUCUGCCCAGCCGCGACCCCGUCUGGGAGGUGAGGAGCGUCUCUGCCCGGCCGCCCCGUCGGAGAAGUGAGGAGCCCCUCUGCCCGGCAGCCGCCCCGUCGGAGAAGUGAGGAGCGUCUCCGACCGGCAGCCGCCCCGUCCGGGAGGUGGGGGGUCAGCCCCCGCCCAGCCAGCCCUCCCCUCCGGGAAGGAGAUGGGGGACAGCCCCGCCCGGCCAGCCAACCCCUCCGCGAGGGAGGUGGGGGGCAGCCCCCGCCCGGCCAGCCGCCCCGUCCGGGAGGGAGGUGGGGGGCGCCUCUGCCCAACCGCCCCUUCUGGUAAGUGAGGAGCCCCUCUGCCCGGCCACCACCCCGUCUGGGAGGUGUACCCAACAGCUCAUUGAGAACGGGCCAUGAUGACGAUGGCGGUUUUGUCUAAUAGAAAAGGGGGAAAUGUGGGGAAAAGAUACAGAAAUCAGAUUGUUGCUGUGUCUGUGUAGAGAGAAGUAGACAUGGGAGACUCCAUUUUGUUCUGUACUAAGAAAAAUUCUUCUGCCUUGGGAUGCCUUACCCCCAACCCGGUGCUCUCUGAAACAUGUGCUAUGUCCACUCAGGGUUAAAUGGAUUAAGG